Molecule: ribosomal RNA, 387 nt
Filed under: uncultured bacterium
Lineage: Bacteria
Description: partial 16S ribosomal RNA
Rfam family: Bacterial small subunit ribosomal RNA
Source: RNAcentral
CCUACGGGUGGCAGCAGUGAGGAAUAUUGGUCAAUGGGCGCGACCCUGAACCAGCCAAGUCGCGUGAAGGAUGACGGUCCUCCGGAUUGUAAACUUCUUUUAUAGGGGAGUAAAAUACGCCACGUGUGGCUUUUCGUGUGUACACCAUGAAUCAGCAUCGGCUAACUCCGUGCCAGCAGCCGCGGUAAUACGGAGGGACCGCGCGUUAUCCGGUUUUAUUGGGUUUAAAGGGUGCGCAGUCGGGUUGUUAAGGUAGUGGUGAAAGUUUGGGGCCCAACCGUAGAACUGCAGUUGAAACUGGGAGUCUUGAGUGCGCGAGAGGUAGGCGGAAUUCGUGGUGUAGCGGUGAAAUGCGUAGAUAUCACGAAGAACUCCGAUUGCGAAGGC